AUUGAACGCUGGCGGCAUGCUUUACACAUGCAAGUCGAACGGUAACAGGCCUUCGGGUGCUGACGAGUGGCGAACGGGUGAGUAAUGCACCGGAACGUGCCCAAUCGUGGGGGAUAACGUAGCGAAAGUUACGCUAAUACCGCAUAAGCCCUGAGGGGGAAAGCAGGGGAUCGCAAGACCUUGCGCGAAUGGAGCGGCCGAUGUCAGAUUAGCUAGUUGGUGGGGUAAAGGCCUACCAAGGCGACGAUCUGUAGCGGGUCUGAGAGGAUGAUCCGCCACACUGGGACUGAGACACGGCCCAGACUCCUACGGGAGGCAGCAGUGGGGAAUUUUGGACAAUGGGCGCAAGCCUGAUCCAGCCAUGCCGCGUGCGGGACGAAGGCC
RNAcentral lists this ribosomal RNA (384 nucleotides) under uncultured bacterium. RNAcentral's name for it is "bacterial SSU rRNA". It matches the Rfam family "Bacterial small subunit ribosomal RNA", at positions 29 to 416 of the family's 1533-position model. The record is from RNAcentral.